GAUGAACGCUGGCGGCGUGCCUAAUACAUGCAAGUAGAACGCUGAAGGAGGAGCUUGCUCUUCUGGAUGAGUUGCGAACGGGUGAGUAACGCGUAGGUAACCUGCCUGGUAGCUGGGGAUAACUAUUGGAAACGAUAGCUAAUACCGCAUGACAACAGUUAUUGCAUGAUAACUGUUUAAAAGGGGCAACUGCUCCACUACCAGAUGGACCUUCUUUGUAUUAGCUAGUUGGUGAGGUAACGGCUCACCAAGGCGACGAUCCAUAGCCGGCCUGAGAGGGUGAGCAGCCAGCCUGGGACGGAGACACGGCACAGAGUGCUACGGGAAGCGGCAGUACGGAAUCUUCGGGAAGCAGCGGAAGUCUGAGCGAGCAACGCGGAAUGAGUGAAGAAGGUUUCCGGGUCGUAAAGCGCGGUUGUAAGGGAAGAACGAGCGUGCGAGUGGAAAGAUCAGAGUGUGACGGUAACUGAUCAGGAAGGGACGGCUAACUACGUG
RNAcentral lists this ribosomal RNA (495 nucleotides) under uncultured bacterium. RNAcentral describes it as "partial 16S ribosomal RNA". It matches the Rfam family "Bacterial small subunit ribosomal RNA", at positions 28 to 507 of the family's 1533-position model. The record is from RNAcentral.